GACGAACGCUGGCGGCGUGCUUAACACAUGCAAGUCGAACGGAGCGAAUGAAAGCUUGCUUUUAUGAGCUUAGUGGCAAACGGGUGAGUAACACGUAGACAACCUGCCGACAGGAUGGGGACAACAUUCCGAAAGGAAUGCUAAUACCGAAUGAAGCGGAGGAGAGGCAUCUCUCCUCCGUGAAAGAUGGCCUCUGAAUAUGCUAUCACCUGUCGAUGGGUCUGCGUCUGAUUAGCUGGUUGGUGAGGUAACGGCUCACCAAGGCGACGAUCAGUAGCCGGUCUGAGAGGAUGAACGGCCACAUUGGGACUGAGACACGGCCCAGACUCCUACGGGAGGCAGCAGUGGGGAAUCUUCCGCAAUGGGCGCAAGCCUGACGGAGCAACGCCGCGUGAGUGAAGAAGGUCUUCGGAU
This 414-nucleotide ribosomal RNA is filed under the name Selenomonas sp. oral taxon 138. RNAcentral describes it as "bacterial SSU rRNA". It matches the Rfam family "Bacterial small subunit ribosomal RNA", at positions 28 to 423 of the family's 1533-position model. Lineage: Bacteria; Bacillati; Bacillota; Negativicutes; Selenomonadales; Selenomonadaceae. The record is from RNAcentral.